This 816-nucleotide long non-coding RNA is filed under the name Eucalyptus grandis. RNAcentral describes it as "long non-coding RNA (EGRA_LNC003770)". Lineage: Eukaryota; Viridiplantae; Streptophyta; Magnoliopsida; Myrtales; Myrtaceae. The record is from RNAcentral.
GUCGCGUGAACGGGAAUUGGAGAGACGUGCGUAAGAAUGAUAUCACAGGACGACCCGCUGGAAAAUGAGAGGCAAACAUGAACAGACUGAAUUUGCUUUCAUUAGUAGCAACAACCGAUGGAGACAACAGCUUGCUCUGAAUUUCUCUUUUUGGGGUGACACAUACAUUUGCGAGAACUAAAAUAGAGAGUUUCAAGGGCAACCGUUACUCAGCAAGAAGUUGCUAAACACUCGCUAGCGGAUGGACCGACAAUCUUUAUUUAUUAUGCAUGUCCCCGAACACUCCGCUCACUCGUACGUUAGGCCUCGCGGGAACACAUUGACAGACCAGCGAGUAACGGACCAAAUAAUCAGGUAAAGCAAGCUUCGGGGUUUGAUUGCUUCACAUCUGAGCCGUGAUGUUAGAUCGAGAGAGACUGUAUGUGAACUCAGAGAUAAUAAAUUCAUCAUAAUAGCACUUACUGCUCAGUGGUCAAUCGUGCCAACAAAGGAGCAUGACGACGCAGCGCCGAAUGAUGUAGAGCCUACCUUUCUGCUCUUUCAGGUGACCCUUCAGCCUUGUGCAUGAAAGCCUCCUGUUGCUAGCCUUCGAGUCUCUUGCUUUCGCGCUUGCACUUCUCAUGAUCAUCUUCACUUUUCUGCGAUCCGAACGCCUCAGUGACUAUGGCUUGGCUUCACUUGCCUCUGGCUUUGUCGAGACAGAUAGGAGAUUUGUUUUCUUUUAGUAUCGAAUUGACUCUGCUCUUGACGUUCCAAAAGGGAGGGUCGUCUUCUUAUCAGGACAGCUUCGGCCCCUCUUGUCUCUCCCUCUCUCUC